GAUGAAGAACGUAGCGAAAUGCGAUAAGUAAUGUGAAUUGCAGAAUUCAGUGAAUCAUCGAAUCUUUGAACGCUCAUUGCGCCCCCUGGUAUUCCGGGGGGCAUGCCUGUCCGAGCGUCAUUACAACCCUCAAGCUCAGCUUGGUCUUGGGCCCCGCCGCCCCGGCGGGCCCUAAAGUCAGUGGCGGUGCCGUCCGGCUCCGAGCGUAGUAAUUCUUCUCGCUCUGGAGGUCCGGUCGUGUGCUCGCCAGCAACCCCCAAUUUUUUUCAGGUUGACCUCGGAUCAGGUAGGGAUACCCGCUGAACUUAAGCAUAUCAAUAAGCGGAGGA
RNAcentral lists this unclassified non-coding RNA (329 nucleotides) under soil metagenome. RNAcentral's name for it is "partial contains 5.8S ribosomal RNA, internal transcribed spacer 2, and large subunit ribosomal RNA". The stretch from base 1 to 120 matches the Rfam family "5.8S ribosomal RNA", at positions 35 to 154 of the family's 154-position model. The record is from RNAcentral.